This 180-nucleotide ribosomal RNA is filed under the name Clinacanthus nutans. RNAcentral's name for it is "5.8S ribosomal RNA". The stretch from base 1 to 115 matches the Rfam family "5.8S ribosomal RNA", at positions 42 to 154 of the family's 154-position model. Rfam says of the family: 5.8S ribosomal RNA (5.8S rRNA) is a component of the large subunit of the eukaryotic ribosome. It is transcribed by RNA polymerase I as part of the 45S precursor that also contains 18S and 28S rRNA. The record is from RNAcentral. Lineage: Eukaryota; Viridiplantae; Streptophyta; Magnoliopsida; Lamiales; Acanthaceae.
AACGUAGCGAAAUGCGAUACUUGGUGUGAAUUGCAGAAUCCCGUGAACCAUCGAGUCUUUGAACGCAAGUUGCGCCCGAAGCCCUCGGGCCGAGGGCACGCCUGCCUGGGCGUCACGCAUCGCGUCGCCCCUCCCCUCCCCCGCUCCCGACGGAGCGGGCGGGUGCGGGGGGCGGAGACU